This 324-nucleotide ribosomal RNA is filed under the name uncultured eukaryote. RNAcentral's name for it is "partial 18S ribosomal RNA". It matches the Rfam family "Eukaryotic small subunit ribosomal RNA", at positions 1470 to 1796 of the family's 1831-position model. The record is from RNAcentral.
CCCUUAGAUGUCCUGGGCUGCACGCGCGCUACACUGAUGUGUCCAGUAAGCACCUAACCUCUUCCGAAAGGAACGGGUAACCUUUGCAAAGCACAUCGUGAUGGGGAUAGAUUAUUGCAAUUAUUAGUCUUGAACGAGGAAUUCCUAGUAAGCACAAGUCAUAAGCUUGUGUUGAUUACGUCCCUGCCCUUUGUACACACCGCCCGUCGCUCCUACCGAUUGAAUGUUCCGGUGAGCUCUUCGGACUGCGCGGUCUGCAGUUUCUGCGUUCCGUGCGGAAAGUUGCGCAAACCUUAACAUUUAGAGGAAGGAGAAGUCGUAACA